GAAGUUUGACUGUUGAAGGAUAACGUGGGAUUUUCUGAAACUGAAUAGUUCUGCACUGAAUUGGAAAUGUUACAUCCCCAAGCCCAGAUAUUGCUCUGAUCCAAGAGGGGUGCUCAGAGGAGGGAAGAAAUCUUAAUGAGAUUUAGUGCCUAGUCUGGCUUUGCAGCUGCUUCUGUUUCGGCUUUAUGAGGUGACAAGCCAAACUGUCCAACAAAACAUGACUGAGUUGUCACUUCUGCCCAUGGCAGAUGCCUGAAAAGGUCAGACAAUUGCCUCCAGUUAGCACAUUGAUUUCUCGUGUUUCAUUGAAGUUACCUAUUUUUGUCACGAAAACAUUCAUAAUCAGAUGGAGAAGAACAUGAGUCCUUCUUACUGGAGUGUUGGUAGAUGCUGGAGCGUGUCCAGAGAAGGGCAAUGAAGUUGGUGAAGGGUCUGGAGCACAAGAUGUAUGAGGAGAGGCUGUAGUAGGCAGCUUAUAACUGAUCAAAAUUAUAAAGGAGGCUCAGGGCAGACCUUAUUUGUCUUUACAACUACUGAAAGGAUGUGGUAGCCAGGUGGGUGUUGGUCUCUUCUCCCAAGAAACAAGUGACAGGAUGAGAGGAAACAGCCUCAAGUUGUGCCAGGAGAGGUUUAGAUGGGAUAUUAGGGAAAAUUUUACACUGAAAGGGUUCUCAAGCAUUGGAUCAGGCUGCACAAGCCAGAACAUGCUAGAAGUCUUUUGAUUUCUGCUGUCACCAUUGCUGUCAUUAAGAAAACUCCACAGCCUGAGUUAGGGCAAUAUUUUUAAUUGCUUUUUCCAUUUAAGAAGUGGAAAACUGCUUAAAGGAAAAAGGAAUGGCAAUGUUUCCUCCCCUCUAGCUACAGUACUCUUCUAUGACUCAAAAUCUGUCUCUGCAAUUACCCAAUGCAGAUUAAUUUCUCCUCUCUAUCCCCAUAUCUCUAUCUUAACAGUGGGAUAAUAACCCCUUUUUUUUGUGGCAUUUUUUGUUUGUUUUUAUCAUAGGAUACCAUAUAUGUCUACAUUUAUACAUCACUUCCAGAUUAGUUAAAUAAUGUUAUUAGGAAAAAUGACCAAAGGGAAAAAAAAAAGAAACCAAAACAAAAAACCUGGAAAACUUUACUCUGAACAUUGAAGGAAAAAAGUAGUGGAGGAAAUGGCUCAGAGAAGGAGGGGGUUUCAAGCAGAAGACAAUUGAUGGGAGAGAUGGCUGCUUUGCAUGAACUUGAAGAAUUUUGGUUGAUUAUCUAGUUUCUCUUAAGACCCUGAUUUAAACUGUUGCUGUUCAUAUUCUGUCACGAAGAAGCUGAAUUAAGUAGGGCUCAAAUACUUCUUGCCCCCUCCUCUAACAGCUGCUGUUAGACAUGAAAAGUUUUAGCUCAACUGUAGCAUUGCUAAGAAAAAUGUGACCUCUGAGCUGGAAGCGCGGUGCUUUUGAAGGGAAUGUUCUGUAACAUGGAAAGAUACAUUCUUUUUAUAUUUUGCUGCUUAAAUGGUAAUCUGAAAUAGUAUGGAACUGUGCAGAUUUACAAUGAGCCUGAAGUCUUAAAGUCUUGUCUACUUGUAAGGCUUCAAGUCAGCAUAUUACCAGAUUCGAUCUGUUAUGGUUAAAUUGCAUUGUGCUAUUUGAAGGUGUAUUGGCUUUUGGGAAUGGGUUUUGUGUUUGGC
Molecule: long non-coding RNA, 1666 nt
Organism: Chiroxiphia lanceolata (lance-tailed manakin)
Lineage: Eukaryota; Metazoa; Chordata; Aves; Passeriformes; Pipridae
Exons: 3
Source: RefSeq, a predicted model, not a curated record